This 72-nucleotide transfer RNA is filed under the name bacterium. Its description in RNAcentral is "tRNA-Lys". It matches the Rfam family "tRNA". From Rfam's summary of the family: Transfer RNA (tRNA) molecules are approximately 80 nucleotides in length. Their secondary structure includes four short double-helical elements and three loops (D, anti-codon, and T loops). Further hydrogen bonds mediate the characteristic L-shaped molecular structure. tRNAs have two regions of fundamental functional importance: the anti-codon, which is responsible for specific mRNA codon recognition, and the 3' end, to which the tRNAs corresponding amino acid is attached (by aminoacyl-tRNA synthetases). tRNAs cope with the degeneracy of the genetic code in two manners: having more than one tRNA (with a specific anti-codon) for a particular amino acid; and 'wobble' base-pairing, i.e. permitting non-standard base-pairing at the 3rd anti-codon position. RNAcentral also lists the same sequence under 6 other names. The record is from RNAcentral.
GGGCGCGUAGCUCAGGGGUAGAGCAUCUGCCUUUUAAGCAGAGGGUCGGUGGUUCGAACCCACCCGCGCUCA